This 1530-nucleotide ribosomal RNA is filed under the name Shigella dysenteriae. RNAcentral's name for it is "partial 23S ribosomal RNA". It matches the Rfam family "Bacterial large subunit ribosomal RNA", at positions 1 to 1566 of the family's 2925-position model. Lineage: Bacteria; Pseudomonadati; Pseudomonadota; Gammaproteobacteria; Enterobacterales; Enterobacteriaceae. The record is from RNAcentral.
GGGUUGUGAGGUUAAGCGACUAAGCGUACACGGUGGAUGCCCUGGCAGUCAGAGGCGAUGAAGGACGUGCUAAUCUGCGAUAAGCGUCGGUAAGGUGAUAUGAACCGUUAUAACCGGCGAUUUCCGAAUGGGGAAACCCAGUGUGAUUCGUCACACUAUCAUUAACUGAAUCCAUAGGUUAAUGAGGCGAACCGGGGGAACUGAAACAUCUAAGUACCCCGAGGAAAAGAAAUCAACCGAGAUUCCCCCAGUAGCGGCGAGCGAACGGGGAGCAGCCCAGAGCCUGAAUCAGUGUGUGUGUUAGUGGAAGCGUCUGGAAAGGCGUGCGAUACAGGGUGACAGCCCCGUACACAAAAAUGCACAUAUUGUGAGCUCGAUGAGUAGGACGGGACACGUGGUAUCCUGUCUGAAUAUGGGGGGACCAUCCUCCAAGGCUAAAUACUCCUGACUGACCGAUAGUGAACCAGUACCGUGAGGGAAAGGCGAAAAGAACCCCGGCGAGGGGAGUGAAAAAGAACCUGAAACCGUGUACGUACAAGCAGUGGGAGCACGCUUAGGCGUGUGACUGCGUACCUUUUGUAUAAUGGGUCAGCGACUUAUAUUCUGUAGCAAGGUUAACCGAAUAGGGGAGCCGAAGGGAAACCGAGUCUUAACUGGGCGUUAAGUUGCAGGGUAUAGACCCGAAACCCGGUGAUCUAGCCAUGGGCAGGUUGAAGGUUGGGUAACACUAACUGGAGGACCGAACCGACUAAUGUUGAAAAAUUAGCGGAUGACUUGUGGCUGGGGGUGAAAGGCCAAUCAAACCGGGAGAUAGCUGGUUCUCCCCGAAAGCUAUUUAGGUAGCGCCUCGUGAAUUCAUCUCCGGGGGUAGAGCACUGUUUCGGCAAGGGGGUCAUCCCGACUUACCAACCCGAUGCAAACUGCGAAUACCGGAGAAUGUUAUCACGGGAGACACACGGCGGGUGCUAACGUCCGUCGUGAAGAGGGAAACAACCCAGACCGCCAGCUAAGGUCCCAAAGUCAUGGUUAAGUGGGAAACGAUGUGGGAAGGCCCAGACAGCCAGGAUGUUGGCUUAGAAGCAGCCAUCAUUUAAAGAAAGCGUAAUAGCUCACUGGUCGAGUCGGCCUGCGCGGAAGAUGUAACGGGGCUAAACCAUGCACCGAAGCUGCGGCAGCGACACUAUGUGUUGUUGGGUAGGGGAGCGUUCUGUAAGCCUGUGAAGGUGUACUGUGAGGUAUGCUGGAGGUAUCAGAAGUGCGAAUGCUGACAUAAGUAACGAUAAAGCGGGUGAAAAGCCCGCUCGCCGGAAGACCAAGGGUUCCUGUCCAACGUUAAUCGGGGCAGGGUGAGUCGACUCCUAAGGCGAGGCCGAAAGGCGUAGUCGAUGGGAAACAGGUUAAUAUUCCUGUACUUGGUGUUACUGCGAAGGGGGGACGGAGAAGGCUAUGUUGGCCGGGCGACGGUUGUCCCGGUUUAAGCGUGUAGGCUGGUUUUCCAGGCAAAUCCGGAAAACUAAGGCUGAGGCGUGA